This 3274-nucleotide long non-coding RNA is filed under the name Sus scrofa (pig). Its description in RNAcentral is "lncRNA (ENSSSCG00000054805.1)". Lineage: Eukaryota; Metazoa; Chordata; Mammalia; Artiodactyla; Suidae. The record is from RNAcentral.
UUUUUUUUUUUUUUUUUUCUUAACGCCUACAAAUUGCUUUUAAUUCUCCAUGAUCAGGUUGACAAUUGCCAGUGUAGGUAUUUAUAGAGAAAGAUAAAGUCGGAGCUACCUACACUGUGUCUAUAAAUACAGCUGAAUGUAUAGAACGUGAUGGUGACAGCCAUCUUGGCUCUCUCAGAUGUGAGUGUGUUUAGGAAGAUUUGAAUAUGGAAGAUUUGUAUUUGAAUAAAUCAGUUUUUGUAUUUUGUGUGGCUUUUUACUUUCAAGGGUGACUUUGAAAGAAAUUUUGCCCGGGGACACCAGAGAGUUAGCUUCAACACAUUUCAUCUGGAAAAUGGUGAUUUUCUGGAGAAUGGAGCUGGGGCUCACACCGUCUCUGUCUCUCUCUCUGUCUCUCUCCCACUCUCUCUCUCUUCUCAGGAGUGCCUUGAGGAGUUAACAGCCCAAGGAUAACUGCCUCAAUUCACUUUGGGGUGUAGAACUGGAUAUUACAAGUCACUUCUUACUUUUGACUUGAGACUAGCAACUCUUUUCCUCAUCAGGUGGUUAAGGACACAUUUGGAGCAGGAAUGGAAGAAGCAUCCUGAAGGCUUUUUGAAAAACCAAAGACCUCAAAACUCUGAAUGGGCUGGAGUCUGUGGUUCUUUUUUUGUGGAGCUGGACAUCACCUCAGGGUAUUUCCAAAUUAAAUUAAUAGUUAUAAAAUAAUAGUGGCACUAGUACUUGAACCACUGCAAAGUGGCCCUCUAGGAGAAGGUAGUGCAAUCUUCCUGCAUUGCUUGGAGAGGACCCAAGGCCUUUGGGUGUCCAGUGAAUCUUGCCAUCUGGCUCCUGCUGGGCCCCCGAUGUGGCCUCACCUUGUGCCGUCUCUUCCUCCUUGGACUUCAGCUGUUUUCCUACUGCUUCAUGUUGCCUGGAAGCCUCUGCUCCUGGCUCUUACAUGUUGAGUUUCUUCUCACCCUCAGCGUCUCUUCUUACAGGUUAGUUCCUUGUUGAAACUGCCUCCCAGUAAAGCUUUACCAAACUAUCAGCUUGAAAAAGGAGCAAGCCAGCCCCACAUCUAUAGACUUCAUCAUAUAUGCAUGUUAGCUAUAGUUAUUUAAUUGACCUUGAGAGUAAAUCUGACCUUAUUAACCACUGAGCCAUGACAGGAACUCUGCAAACCAGCCGUGAAAUCAAUGCUGUGUAUUUUGGGGUAGCUUUGAAAAAGAAAGAAUAUACCUCUACCCCCCAUAAAACCCCCAAACAAAAAUAAUGCCAGGAGAUUGUUCAAGAGUGAUGAUCAUGUUAACUCUUUUCAACGUUCUGUCCUUGUAGGUUGGGGGUCGACACCACAACUAGACCUAAUCUUUAUUAACACAUGGUCUUGGAAUUCCCGUCAUGGCUCAGUGGUUAAUGAACCUGACUAGCAUCUAUGAGGACAUGGGUUCGAUCCCUGGCCUCGCUCAGUGGGGUAAGAAUCCGGCUUUGCCAUGAGCUGUGGUGUAAGCUGCAAAUGCAGCUUGGAUCCUGCAUUGCUGUGGCAUGGGCCAGCAGCUGUAGUCCCGAUUCAUCCACUAGCCUGGGAACCUCCAUAUGCCACAAGUGCAACCCUAAAAAGACAAGACAAUAAAAAACAAAGACGUAACAACACAUUGUUCGUGUUCUUACCUCCAAAGAGAUACCUUUGGGCCUUAUGUUUUUCAAGAUGAUUCUUGAAUCAUGGUGCUUUUAAGUUGCUUGUCUUUCUUAUCAAUUAGCAACAUUUCGUUUAUCCUAAAUAUGGCAAUUAGUCUUCAUUUGUAUUUUUAGUUUUUCACUUUUUUUUUUUUUGCUAUUUGAAACAUAUUUUCUGUGAAAAAUAUUUUCUCUGCCAAAAUCAAUUUUCUUUUUUUAAAUGAAUAAGGUCAAACUUACUCUCGAGGUCAAUUAAAUAGCUACUACUAUGUGCAUAUAUGAUCAAGUCUACAGAUGUGGAGCUGGCUUGCUCCUUUUUUAUGCUGAUAGUUUGGUAAAGCUUUGCUGGCCUGGGAGCAGCAUCUUUGGAUUGGAUAUUGCAUAAAUUCUUGUUACACAGCACUGCAUGGAAUUAUCCCAAUGUGGGCAUCGGUGUUGAACACAGCCAACCAUAAAAUUCCAUUUCGUUUCUGUUGCAUAAACAUAGGAUCACAAAUAGUGUGAUUAUUUCUGGCAGCCUCAGGCAUCUUAGCUAGGAGGAAGAUGUAGGAAAAUAUGAAUACUUAAAUGUAUUAUGAGCUUCCCAGCAUGAACUGACCAAGUGCCUUUGGCAGUAGCCUUUAAAAGGGUCAGAUAUAAAAACAUCUAAUCCCAUCAUUUGCUGAGUUCUUACGGUGUGCAAGGCACUGUUUUCAUGGUUCAUUUGCCUUAUCGCAGGUAGCCUUCAACACUGUACUGUGUUAGAUGCUCAUCUUACAACUGAGGGAAUGGUGACCCAGUGAGGUCAUGAGACUUGCCAAAAUUGUACAGUUCAAGACAGAGGUAGGAUUUGAACCCAUAUCGUUUGACCCCAGAACAUUCAACAACCACCACCACUACCAACACAGCAAUCUUGGUCACGUGGUCAGAAACAAUUGACUUGUCCUACCAUUUCUUUGAUGUUUAUUGGCUUUCCCUUGCAGAUUUCCAGGGCUAUUAGGCCAUGUUCUCUUCUUUGUCUCUUUCAUUUGAGAGGCAGGUAGUCCCUCAGAGACAUGAGGAAGGCUAAUCUUGACCAAGAUCAACCUAGAGGAAACCAGUGAAACCCCUCAUUUGCCCUUUACUUUAAGCUAAAGAAGCUAAAGUCCAGCAUAGUUAUGUUGGCUGUCUGCAGAGGGGACCGCCAAUUAUGAAACCCAUAUGGUGAAGGAUCUGUGGUCAGACAAGCAAAACUGUUUAAGCAGAGCGUCUGCCGCGAUUCUGUGAUUCAGAUCCUCAAAGCAAAUAGAUAUCUUCAGGAAGACACAGCCAGGGAUGAUAAAUAUGUAAAACCAGGGGAGGUAUAAGACCUGAGUCUACCCUGAGCCUGAGUCUACCCUGUAGGAUGUGUGCUCUCUUCAAAUUAGAAAAGUAACAAUGUGAGUUCCAGUUGUGGCUCAGGUGUUUAAGUGUCUGUAAUGUUGGGGUUCGGUCCCUGGCCUUGUUCAGUGGGUUAAGGAUCUGGCGUUGCUGCAAGCUGUGGUGUAGGUUGAAGAUACGGCUCGGAUCCCUGAGUUAACUGUGGCUGUGGCAUAAGCUGGCAGCUGCAGCUCAGAUUUGGCCUGUAGCCCAGGAACUUCCAUGUGCUGCAGGUGUAGCU